AUGCAAGGUACAAUGAAUACCGGAAAUGGUGGCAUAGCUAGAGAAGGACAGGGGAAGCUCGUUGUAGGUGUACUGGAAGGAGUUGAUGGAGCGGAAUUGUGGUCGUUGUCUCCCGCCUUUGCAUCAGAUUCGUCAUUGGAGUCAAUCGGUGCACCAUCUCAGAUAGGGCUGUUAAUUGUUGGCGAGUCUUUAACUUAG
Molecule: non-coding RNA, 198 nt
Organism: Vicia faba (fava bean)
Lineage: Eukaryota; Viridiplantae; Streptophyta; Magnoliopsida; Fabales; Fabaceae
Source: the annotation of a GenBank genome assembly